UCCUACGGGAGGCAGCAGUAGGGAAUCUUCCGCAAUGGACGAAAGUCUGACGGAGCAACGCCGCGUGAGUGAUGAAGGCUUUCGGGUCGUAAAACUCUGUUGUUAGGGAAGAACAAGUGCUAGUUGAAUAAGCUGGCACCUUGACGGUACCUAACCAGAAAGCCACGGCUAACUACGUGCCAGCAGCCGCGGUAAUACGUAGGUGGCAAGCGUUAUCCGGAAUUAUUGGGCGUAAAGCGCGCGCAGGUGGUUUCUUAAGUCUGAUGUGAAAGCCCACGGCUCAACCGUGGAGGGUCAUUGGAAACUGGGAGACUUGAGUGCAGAAGAGGAAAGUGGAAUUCCAUGUGUAGCGGUGAAGUGCGUAGAGAUAUGGAGGAACACCAGUGGCGAAGGCGACUUUCUGGUCUGUAACUGACACUGAGGCGCGAAAGCGUGGGGAGCAAACAGGAUUAGAUACCCUGGUUGUCCACGCCGUAAACGAUGAGUGCUAAGUGUUAGAGGGUUUCCGCCCUUUAGUGCUGAAGUUAACGCAUUAAGCACUCCGCCUGGGGAGUACGGCCGCAAGGCUGAAACUCAAAGGAA
RNAcentral lists this ribosomal RNA (582 nucleotides) under uncultured bacterium. RNAcentral's name for it is "bacterial SSU rRNA". It matches the Rfam family "Bacterial small subunit ribosomal RNA", at positions 337 to 909 of the family's 1533-position model. The record is from RNAcentral.